Long non-coding RNA from Pan troglodytes (chimpanzee), 2547 nucleotides. RefSeq lists it as uncharacterized. The transcript is spliced from 3 exons. The record is from RefSeq and is a predicted model, not a curated record. Lineage: Eukaryota; Metazoa; Chordata; Mammalia; Primates; Hominidae.
GGCGGGGGCGGACUACAACUCCCGGCGUGCUCCCCGGGGCUGAGGCCUACAACUCCCAUCGGACUCCCGGGGCUCCGACUACAACUCCCGGCGACUCCGCAGGGCGGGGGUUAACUGCUCCCACCGCCCAGUCCCCGGACCGACUGUCCCACCCGCGACCCAUGCUGGCCCCAGGUUAACGCCUGCAACCCCGGAGGGCCACAAAUCAAAGGUCUGGCAUCUUGACAACAACGCUGUUCUUGUGUGGCUAAGGAGCACUCCAAAGGUGGAUAAUCAUGAUGAGACGGGAGCAAGCUUAAGGGUACCAGAUGGAUAAUCACAUAUUCAUACCAUGGGACAUGCCCCUCGGAUGCAUCCUCAAGAAGUGAGAAAAGUUUGAACCCCAAACCCUAAAAAGGAAAAGGCUAAUAUUUUUCUGUAACACAGCUUGGGUUGAAUAAAAUCUCCAGGACCAGUAAUGUUGGCCAGAAAACAGAAGCAUAAAUUUUAAUACAAUCCAUCAACUAGAUUUGUUUUGCUGUCAACAGGGAAAAUGAACAGAAAUCCUUUAUGUACAGGCCUUCGUGGCCCUAAUAAACAACCAUGGCCUUUGUCAGGCUUGUAAAAUGGAUCCAGUGAUGAUAGCGGCCAUUGUCAGGCAGCUCCCACCAGUUGGUUUGGGAGGCCUCUUAUUGGGUUUACCCAGGGCUCAAGCCCCAGAGGAACCAAGGGCAGAGCUUGGGUCAAACCCCACUGCCCCUUCUACCCCUUAUAUCCAAGUCUUCCAGCCUUGGAGCCUUGCUCUUUCUAGCCAGGGCCACCCUCUGGACACCACCGCCUUAAGUUAUGCCCUUUUCAAGAGGUUAGCAGCCCCAGUGGACCCACUAGAGUCCAGACUCCGUUCACUAUGUAAGACCUGAGCCAGAUUAAGAUGGAAAUAGGAAGUUUAUGGAAGACCCUGAAAAAUACAUCAAAGCGUUCCGUAAACUGGGCUAAACAUUUGAACCACCUGGAGGGUCCUCUCAGUCAUACUAUGGCAAACUCUGUCUAAGGGAGAAUGUGACUCCAUUACAGAGGUGACCCAGCAAUUUAUAACUACAAUGCACAUGACUGACUCUGGUGGCAACACUGUGGGGGCCACCGCAGUUCCCUAGGUUGACCCUAAUUCGGGUUACCAUACCUGGGGGGGGGUAUAUGGGCAAGGAACCACAUGUUUCUCUGUCUGAUAGAAGGAAUGAAAGCUAGCAAAACAGAGCCUAUGAACUAUAAUAAAUCGGCCUUAAUAGAUCAAGGCCCUCUUGAAAACCCCUAGAGAGGCUACAAGAGGCCCUAAUGAAACAUACUAACCUAGACCCAGACACACCAGAAAGACAACUGACCCUAAAGGACCAUUUCCUAACUCUGGCAGCCCCAGAUAUUCAGAGGAAACUCCAAAAGCUAGCACUGGGCCCCAACACCCCGGGCCUGACAUCUUCAAAAUAGCUUCCUCAAUCUUCUACAACCAAAACCAGGAGAAGGAGGAAAGAGCUCAGGAAAAGGGAGACAAAAGGAAAAGUAGCAGCUCCAACUCUUGGCUGCACUACAAGUCUGCCAGCCCCCUCCAGGUUGCCCUCAGAUUACCCUCGCAGGUAACUGCCAUCAGCACAGGAGGGCAGGCCACUGGAAGGCAAACUGCCCCAAUAGGACUGAUGGAAAAAAGCCCCGCAUGGCUUGCCCCCACUGCCACAAGCUUGGCCACUGAAAAUGGGACUGCCCUGAGGAUCGAAGGGACUCUGGGACAGAAUCCCAACCCCUGAUGGCCUUGAGCUGAAGGAGCCCUACACAUCAGCCAGCUCCCAGAUUGAACAUCACUGUUGAAGGGACAGACCCGAGGGCUGCUUUGGACAUGGCAGGUAGGACUAUAAGUUUUCUUUUGGAUAUGGGAGCGGACUACUCAGUGCUUACCUCUUUUCCUGAGCAAUUAUCCUCCAAAUCCUCGCUGGUGCUGGGGCUAAAUGAGGUGCCUAUAAGCUGAAGAUUUACUCCUCCUCUCUGGUGCCUGUAGGGGGAAACUAUCUUUUCUCAUUCAUUUUUAAUGAUGCCAGAAUGUCCUAUGCCCCUUUUGGGUAGAGAUAGUUUAUUUAGACUAGAGGCUUAGUUAACCUUUCCUCCAAGGCAACACCUCCUUUUCCAAAUGCAAUCUUAUGCCUCAAGGAAACCACACACAGGAUGAACUGCUGACAGACCUUUCCAUUAAUCCAGAGGUCUGGGCCACAGGAAUACAUGGAAAGGCCAUAAUGGCAAUGCCUGUAGUAAUUCAUCUCAAGGAUCCUUCUUGCUAUCCUUGUAGAAGGCAGCUGGCCAAAGAGGGACUUUGGCUCCUGAUUGAAAAAUUUCUGUAACGUGAAUUAUUAAUACUCGAUAACUUGCCCUGUAACACCUGCAUCCUACCUGUUAAGAAGAGCAAUGAGGCCAGGCGCAGUGGCUCACACCUAUAUCCCAGCACUUUGGGAGGCUGAGCCAGGUGGAUCACUUGAGGUCAGGAGUUUGAGACCAGCCUGGCCAACAUGGAGAAACCCCGUCUCUACU